Dreissena polymorpha is the source of this 4728-nucleotide RNA transcript. It is a transcript of the gene named carbohydrate sulfotransferase 15-like, with no coding region annotated. Lineage: Eukaryota; Metazoa; Mollusca; Bivalvia; Myida; Dreissenidae. The transcript is spliced from 10 exons. The record is from RefSeq and is a predicted model, not a curated record.
GUACAUGAGAAUGUGUUAACACGCUGUACUAUAUACCCUCUGAUAAAACAUGCGCUUGUUGGUGUAAAUAGAGUAGUGAAUGAUUUCGGGUGCAUGUAGGUGUGCAUAGCGAUGGAUUUAAAUACUUACAAAAUGGAUGACGGAUUUAUUAAAUAUACAUUCCAAUAUUUAUAAGUGAUUUCUGAAGAGGUGUGACAUUUACAAAUAUUUUUAAACAGACUGUUUCACUUCAGUACUUCGGUAUAUAGAUCUAAUUCUAAAAAAUAGCAAAUUAAACAUGUUUACAUUCAUGCAUCGUAAAUACUGGAUGCAAUAUUUGUGUGACCGCACAUGGUGUAGGAUUGACUGAGGGAAUUUAAAGGAAAAGUUUCAAUGUUGUUUAACCGUCUGGGUUCAAUCUUUGUUUACAUUUCGUUGGAAACCCGAAAAAUACAGGUGUGUUUUCGUGCAAAUACUUCUACAGUACAUUGGUAUACAGUACAUGUACACAGUGCAGUCGAUUGACUUGUAUUCUUCUAAGCGAACGGGAUUAUCGCCUGUUCGCUUAUCUUUUUUACAGGGCGCCGUUUGAUGUGAGACGCUGUCUUUAUAACAAUCCUGGGCGUCUGCAGGGUCGGACAUGAGGUCAGAGGGAGUGUACUAAAAUGAAUUAUGGGCCGGUCCGAAAAUGGAGUUUUCCAUUUCAGGAAAAAAUCAACAUUAAAACACCAGUUGUCAGAAAAGUGUUUUUUUCGUUGUGUUCAAUAAUAGCUGUGAUAUUUUUUGUGCUAUUUUAUGGUUGCUUUUCAUCUGGAACGGCAUGUAUAAAGUCGCAAGUGGUUGUGCAAAGUCAUUAUAACUUCCAUAAACAAAAUGUCGCCGAUCAUUCCCGGAAUCUCGGAGAUAGUCCGAGUCUCGAAACGGACGAAAUUUCGAAAGUCAAUCACGGACCCAUUUUCGUAAAGGAGCUAAAUGUCUCGGUUCCGAACAUUGCCGUCAGAUCCGAACUUUUGGAAGUCGGGGAAAAUGAAACGAUAGACGAAGACGAAGAGUUGUUUGAGGAAGAUGACAACUUGAGUUCGGGGUCAGGUAUAGACAACACAACGAUGGGAUUCGAGGAAAUCGACUGGAGUGAUUCGCGCCUGGAUUUGUUGCACAUGCGGAAGCCUGAUUUCGACCCAAGAUUCAAGAAUCCCUGUUGGUUCGAACCUCUGACUUCCUUGAACCCGUACGAGAACAACACUUUCACCACGUUUUCCCCUUCCUCGAGCAGGGCCCUAGAGACGCUGGCUAACCACUGGCGUGUCAAUGCCGACACUUACGGCUAUGCACCCACUACUGCCACAACGCGCCUCCGCUGCCUCCCGUACUUUCUGAUCAUCGGUCAACCAAAAUGCGGCAGUACGGACCUGUUUUGGAAGAUUGCAAAGCAUCCGGACAUCGUCACGCCGCCUAUAAAGGAGCUCCACUGGUGGUCCCGGAACCGCCAAGGUCGGCGUUUCAACUACAUGAAACUCAUUCCAUUCAGCGACUACAUUGACAUGUUUGACAACGCCGGUGUGCGCAUCUACGAAAAGUUGCUGGACUAUAUCGAUGACGUAGACGAUGACCAAAUAAUUACAGGGGAGGCCAGUGUGUCACUGUUUUGGGACAACGGUGAGUGGGACCGAUUCCCGGAAAACAUGGACCAAACACAGCCGAGAUUUAUCGUCCCUGACUAUAUUCAGCAUUUCAUUCCAGAUGUCAAACUUAUCCUUAUUCUUAGAAAUCCUGUUGAAAGGAUGUAUUCCGAUUAUCUCUACUUCCAUUCCACAAACAAGUCCGUGGAUGAUUUUCACGAGGCGGUGAAAGAUGCCGUGGAUUUGUACAGCAGCUGUGUUCAAACGAACUCUCCGAGACAGUGCGUGUAUGACCCAGCCUUGGGCAAUAAAGCCAGGGUGCGUUUACGGGUCGGCAUGUACUCAGUGUUUCUGCGAGACUGGUUACGGCUAUUUCCACUUAGUCAGUUCCACAUUUUACGCCUUGAAGACUAUUCAAGAGAACCAGUCAACUACGUAAAAGAAGUUUACCGCUUUCUUGGCUUGAGAGAAAUUCCGUCGGCAAGGGAGAAGCUGAUGGUGACGUCAUCGACGUCGAAUGUCAGGAAGCAGUCGGACCGGGCUCUCGGAGAUAUGUUAUCGGAGACUCGGGCGCUCUUACUGCAAUUUUACAGACCUUACAACGAGGAGCUGGCUGCCAUGUUGUCUAGCAAGCGAUACUUGUGGGCAGACAGCUGAGAGCAGUAGAGCGAGUCGGAAUCUAUAAAGAGAUUUAAGUAGUCGGAAAUCGCUAUUGACGGCAAUAGAGCCUGUUGAAUCUAAAAAUGGAGCGCAAGAUACUUUAUUAUGCGCCGGGAUCUAAAACUGGAAUUUGCGGUCGGAAUCUAAAAAUGUCUUUUAAUUAAGAUAUUGAUACAUGUCAGCAUUCAUUAACGAGGUUUAACGUUGGAAUAAGAGUAGACAUUUUAGCAUUGAAAUCUAAUAUAAAGAAUUUUUAGGGUCGGAAUCUAAAACAAAUUUUAGGCUCCAGACUUUGACAAUAUAUUGCAAGGGUCGUGUUUCUAAGAAGAUUUUUCUAUCGAUUAUAUCUCUGUUAUCGUACCUUCACGGAAUCUAAAGCAGAGGCUUAUCAGUGCCAACACUUUACGCUUUUAUAUUAUUUUUGGUUAAAGGUUGUCUCUUCUUAGCCAAAAUCCAUUCUAGGCGGAAAGUGUCGUCUUUGAUAUACCUGUGCGCACUGCAUUGGCUGAUAUAGAGGACGCCACUUAACGCUCAUGCAAUAAAUCCUGUUUUCUCUGACCAAGACUCAUGUGUUUGCCAUAAAGGGUCUGAGUUGAGGCAAAGUUUUGGACACUGUUUUGAAAUUCAUAAAAAAUGCAAAAUAGUGACUUCAUUCAUUACCACCUAACACUUUAUACAUCGAAUACUUGUAUCUUGCAUAUAAGUUUGCUAAUCAUUUAUCUCCUGAAGAAUUCAACAUUUUGACAUGUGUUCACAGAAAAGGUAAUGAUAUGGUGUUGAUCAUUGCUAUAUUCCUAUGUGUUGAUUUAAUGUUACUGUGAUCGAAAUCGCAUUUUUGGGUUGAAGCAACCAUGACAUGUGCAAAUGCCCAAAGUAUUCAUAAAGUGACCAUCUUACUCCAUGUCGACAGUACGCAAUUGUUGAACUAAAUAGGUUUUAAAAUGGUAAAUAAAAUAUGUUCACGUUUCCGUUUUAUUUUGAUUUAUUUUUCAUAUAUAGUUAUAUGUUAUAUUAAGCACCGCAGUUUUCAUAUGAUUCGAAGUUCAACUGAAAGAUAAGUAGAAGGUAUUCCGAUAAUUAUUUUGAACAAUUGGCUGUGCUAUUUUGUAGAAACACCAUAUUUAUUUCGUUAAAAGAGAUAUUAAAAUUACGAUCUUAGAAACUCAGUAUUUUGAGCAUGCUGCAAAAUAAGCCGUUUUAUCUGUUUGUGUUAUGUUAAUUUUGUUAGCUUUCACCAUCAUUGUCAUUUUCACGUUUGUUAAGUAAUAAUAAAAAAUAUUUAAAAAAAUAUAAAUAUAAUAAUACAAUUAUGGAGAGAGCGUUCUUUGUUGUAUUUUUACCACUGUGUAAAUUUAUUUUACCUUUAUUAUUUUAUUUUAUUUAUAAUUGUCUCAAUUUUAGGUAUAUACACUAUUAUGAAAACAUUAUUUUUUGUAUUCUGAUAUCCUUUGUUUUUUUAAAGUCAUUUCAGUGAUGUACACUUUAUAAUAUUUAUGUUUCAAACAGUGAAGAUUAAUAUGUUUUCUGGUUCCAAAACUAAUAUUUAAAUGAAGCAGAUCGUCAAAGUUUCCGACUCAAUUUGUGAAAUGGCGCCAUUAUUUUGACGCCUUUAAUGUAUUAAUUGUGAUUAUUUCCAGUUAAACCUUUUCAUAAUGCAAACAAAGACAUAGCAAUGACACGGACAUGUCUUGGUUCGAGAAGAUUAUCAUUUUACUUCAGCAAUUGAUUUUGCUUUGCCAUUUGGUAAACAUCGAUAGUAUAAUAAAUAUAAAUACAUUAAUUUAAUAUUAAGUAAAAUUUUCAACAACGGCUUGUUAAGCAUUAAAAGGAUUCACAUGUUUUUUGUUUUGGCAGCUUUAAACUUGUGCAUGUCGUAUAUUAUGUUUUAUAUCAAUAACUGUGUGUCUAUUUCAAAAGGUCAAGGUCACGCUUUGAUAGAGGUCAAUGUUGCAAUAAGGUCAGAAUGCAGUUGUCCGACUGUUCAUCACUGGGUAUAGUUUUAUAUUGUUGCAAGAUUAACUAACGAUGUGUCUUGCAAUACAUUUGAUAAACUUUUGAACGAACUAGUAUAUAACUAAUGCGUUUAGAUGUUACAUGACAAAAAGGGUAAUAAAUAUUUAGUAUUAUUUAUGUAUAAGAAAACGUUAUUAAAAUAUAUAUUAACACUGUUUUGUUAAGUACAUAUUUCAUUAAUUUGUAUUAUCCAAAGUACGAACACCAUUCAAAUUAUAAUAUUGCUUUAUUCCACUGAUAUUAUCUGUUGUGUAUAUACAUAUUUUAUUUUUGCACAAGAUCUCAGUUACUUUUUUUAUUUAUCUUGAAAUUAGUAACAACAUAUAUGUUAUUUUAUCUGUGUAUACACAAACCAACGUUUGUGAUGGUUGUAUAUAUAUGUAAUUAAUAUUAUAUAAAAUCCAUGACAUGUUUUUUUGCUUAACGUUUUCUAUGUGAAAUAUAAUUUACAAACGUA